AACUCUUUAGAAAUGCGUCGUUAGGAAGAAAUGAUACCGGCUGUAGUUUUUGUCUUAAAUGCUUUAUUUCAAGAAACGUUAAUACGAAAAUACACCUCUCCGCCGGUUUAUGUCUGAUUUUGUUACUAAGCCCGUCAACUCAGCAUAAUGGAUAAACAGUAUUCUGUGAAAUUUUUCACUUCAUUUGUUGAAGCGAUGCAAAAGUUGUGUCGAGAAUAUUUGGAAUUUGAACAAGGCGUGGAGCUUAGUGGCUACUUGGCUGUUGAGAUUGAUAAUUUUAAGAAGGAAAGAUAUGUGCUGAGUGAAAUGUUACAAAGUAAUGGCAGUGUGAUCAGUGAAAGUUAUUGUACAAAAGCAUUUAAGACUCUUAGAAAAGAAAUCCCCAGAAACAGUGGUGCUCAUGGGAGUGAAAACAUUGCCCCGAGGGAUCACAUGACCAGAACAGGCAGAUCCCAUUCUGAGGAGGUGACCAUAGUAUUACGUGAGAGCCCAGAAACUGUUUUGCAUCGUCCAAGUUAUCCCAUUCAUACAACUACCCCACGAAAACAGAUGUCUAGUCAUAGCCAAAGGCAUGGUUUUCACGCCAACCAAAGGGCCCAGCUGUCUAAUCGACUGAGAGAGAAUUCCUCUGCGUCUGCUACCAACCCAUUUGAUUCAUCACAAACUCACAGCAAGGGGCAGCAGCGGGAAGAAGCUCAACCGUUACAAAUUAUGCCUCGUGCUCUGGAGGCAGAAAUGAAGGACUCUUCCUGGAAUGCAUCAUCUGAAUCCAACAGUCCUCAUGUUGGCUCACCUUCGUCAGUCACCCCACAAUCACCUGCAGCCAUUGGUCAAAAACGGGCAUAUCAAAAUACAGACAGCUCCAACUCACCAGCUCCUGUCAAAAAAGAUAGAGUUGAUGAGAGCUUACAGUCAUUGUUUGAUGCAGCACGAGAAAUAGCAGAAGUGUCUCAAGCCAAUAUAGACUCUAUUAAAAACAAUUAUCCAGGCACAUCGACAACCGCAUUAGCAUCCACAUCCACCACAGCUGCCAGUGCCUCAGCUACAGCAACCUCCAGCUCUACCUCUGUGUCUUUGGAUGAAAGUAUUCGCUUGCCACUGCCUGUAGAAGUUAAACAGGAGAAGGAAGAUGACAUUCCAUACAUGGUGAUAGAUAACCCCUCCGACACGGAGGUGAAGACAUUCCCCGGUGAAGCCAUGUUUGGUGGUGAUCAGAACAGUUCAGCAGUGUAUUCUGGUGACCAGUCUUCUAUGUCACAGAGUGUCUAUGGGGACUCUGUGCAUACAUCUGACUCACCAGGAGGUGCAUCGUGGGACAUGGGCCAACAAGUGUGUGGCCAGAAGUACACCCGGUCUGCGGGGCAGCCAGGCAGGCAUGUCUGUCCUGAAUGUGGGAAACGCUUUGUGUGGCGUUGCCAUAUGUGGAGACACUAUAAAACACUACACCGAGGUUGCAACAUUGCCUGUCCACUUUGUGGGAAAAUAUUUUCUCGAAAAGAUAACAUGGAUCAACAUCUCCGACAUGGUCGAUGUCGAAAACUCAAGCAGAGGGAUAAUUUUUGAGAAUUGUGAUGUUUGAAAUCAUGAAGAAAUUAUUUUGUUUAGUAUUGCAUGGACUACUGUUUCAGUUGUUGUGGACACUGACAUUAAGUUAUGAAAUUAAUGCAUGGCUGUUGUGAGAUUAAAAACCAAAAUUAAGUAAAUACAGUUUUUCUGUGCAGUUCAACUAAUGGGCCCAUUAAAUUGUGCGUUGAUAGUGCGUCUUCGUUCAUGGAAGGAUAUUUACAUGUUCAGAGUGAUACUGUGUACACAUGGAUACAGUUUCUCCUCCCCUCUACAACAUAAAUAUGAAUCGACCAAUUUGACUGCGCUGACCCUGGCACGGCAGUAGCCUCCGGCCUCGGACCUUCACCGGUAUCGUGUGAUGUGUGUCGACAGCAGUUCACAUACACUUACAA
RNAcentral lists this unclassified non-coding RNA (1958 nucleotides) under Gigantopelta aegis. RNAcentral's name for it is "zinc finger and SCAN domain-containing protein 10- like, transcript variant X25". The record is from RNAcentral. Lineage: Eukaryota; Metazoa; Mollusca; Gastropoda; Neomphalida; Peltospiridae.